Molecule: non-coding RNA, 1710 nt
Organism: Monodelphis domestica (gray short-tailed opossum)
Lineage: Eukaryota; Metazoa; Chordata; Mammalia; Didelphimorphia; Didelphidae
Source: RefSeq, a predicted model, not a curated record
AUCACCAAGAGGUCAUCAUUGAGCCCAACUGGAAAACUCUCGAGUUUUAGAAAUAGUUAGGUACUGCACACAUGAGGAUCUCCAUUCCCCACUGUUAUGGUGAAUGGAGCCAGUGCCACAGGGGAAGAGGCAUGAUUAGAGGUCUGACUAUUUCCUUAAAGACUAAAAGAGAAGAGCCCAGGUCUUGUUCUUUGUAUCCAUCACGGCAUCUAAUACAAGAGUCCUCAAAGUGCAGUGGCAAGAUAAAAGUCAAGAUGACUGGCAAUGGCCUGGGAUGCAGUGGAUGACCCUGGCAUCUUUAGUGUCUGACCAAGCUCUAGGCACUGCACAGCACCUGUUUCAGCUGCCUUCAUGGUCAUUGGAAUGAAUUUUUCUCACCUGCCUAAUUCUCCAGAGAUGUCUUCACUUGCUUGGGGUAGACAUCCCCUAACUCACCAAUGGAGCUGAGACCUGUUGGUUAUCCUCAACCUGUUAAGAUGGUUUUACUGGGGUAUGGCCACUCUGCAUGUGGCUUCUUUGAGCCAGCAAUGAGAACUGGGUAAAAGGUAGACAUCGAAGGUGGAUGGAUGGGCAGCCCUGAAAGGGGUUCACACCGAAGAGCUAGUCCUCCCAGAACACUCCCAAAAUGAGUAAGGAAUAAAAACCGAUAGUCCCCAUGCUACCUUGGUAUCACAUAUAAUGUUCAGAGACAUAGAAAAAGAGCUUUAAGCACACUGAGUGGAACCCUGUGGAAAAUUUAUGGGAAGCAGGAAUGGGAGUCACAUAGAAGGAGAUUAUGAAUGAAUUACAAUGUACAUCACUGGAAUAAGUAACUAUCGUGGCGUGCUCACAGACCCAUAGAAAAGUUGAUUAGGAAAAGAGAAUCAAAUGCAUACAGCAGAAUAGCGUUCCAUAAAACAAAGAAUGCACCUUGCAGGGGGAAGGAAUACAUUAUUUAAGUAAAAUACCUGGAAAACUGUAGAGUAAUAAUAAAACUUAGUAUUUAUAGAAAGCCUACUAUGUGCCAGGCACUGUGUGCUUUAACAAAAACUGGCUUGUUUGAUGCUCACGACAGCCCUGGGAGAUAGGUACUAUAACUAUCCCCAUUUUACAGAUGAGAAAGCAGGCAAAGGUUGUGACCCCAAGGUCACAUAGCUAGGAAGGACCCAAGGCCAUACUUGAACUCAGGUUUACCUGACUCCAUGCCAAAUACUCUACCUACUGACUCACCUAGCAGUUGAAAACAGCACAGUAGUUUGGUGGCAUUGGGCCUGAUACUAUAAAUUCCAAAAAGAUUUUUAAAAUCUAAAUACAAUCAUAUCAUAAAUAAUUUAGAAAAGAACAGAAAGUUCUAUCUUCAAACCUAGAUAAAAGAAAAUGUCUUAAUUACCAAUAAUAUAAAGGAAAUAAAACCCAGAUAUCCACAAUCCAUAAAGAAUGGCCAUGAAUUUACAAAGGCUAAGAGCCAGUUUUAGAUAAAUAUGUUCCAAAGAUAUGAACAAACACUUCUCAAAAACAAGAAAGACAAAAUAUAACUACUUGAAAGGUCACUAAAGUUAAUAAUAAUUAGAAAAAUGCAAUUUAAAAUGAGUCUGAGCUACAGACCAAAAUUAGAAGAAGAAAAAAACAAACCUGGUAAAAGUUGAAGAUAAGUCAAUGAUGGUAAUAUAUGUAAAAUAUAGGGAAACUGGCCAUAAUUCUUUGACAAGCAUAGUCCUACCAGUAACAUGA